GAGUUUGAUCAUGGCUCAGAUUGAACGCUGGCGGCAUGCCUUACACAUGCAAGUCGAACGGCAGCAUGAUCUAGCUUGCUAGAUUGAUGGCGAGUGGCGAACGGGUGAGUAAUACAUCGGAACGUGCCCUGUAGUGGGGGAUAACUAGUCGAAAGAUUAGCUAAUACCGCAUACGACCUGAGGGUGAAAGUGGGGGACCGCAAGGCCUCAUGCUAUAGGAGCGGCCGAUGUCUGAUUAGCUAGUUGGUGGGGUAAAGGCCCACCAAGGCGACGAUCAGUAGCUGGUCUGAGAGGACGAUCAGCCACACUGGGACUGAGACACGGCCCAGACUCCUACGGGAGGCAGCAGUGGGGAAUUUUGGACAAUGGGCGAAAGCCUGAUCCAGCAAUGCCGCGUGUGUCG
Molecule: ribosomal RNA, 403 nt
Filed under: uncultured microorganism
Description: bacterial SSU rRNA
Rfam family: Bacterial small subunit ribosomal RNA
Source: RNAcentral